This is a non-coding RNA of Heterocephalus glaber (naked mole-rat), 311 nucleotides long. The record is from Rfam. NCBI's taxonomy places the organism in Eukaryota, Metazoa, Chordata, Mammalia, Rodentia, Bathyergidae.
GGGAUGUGAUGUGAUGCCAUCACCCAGUAGAUCUCUGGGGUUGAUUAGGCUGAUGGGGCAGGUUGGCAAGAGCCCCAUUCCUCCUGUGCCAUCCCACGUACUUCCCCUCAAGGCUGAGCAAUCUGCUGAAGAAUCUUUCCUUCCUCCAGAAGACACCCUUUCUGGGGCCAGAAUAGGAGUAGCUAUGUCCUGCCCCUGCUGGAACUUCCAAACAAGCUCUCAAGGAUUGGUAGGAGUACUGGGAUAGUGAAACUUCCAAUACUCCAGGGCUAUCCAAAUGUGAUGGUGCACGCGACAGUCUGCCUCUCCGG